GAUGAACGCUGGCGGCGUGCCUAACACAUGCAAGUCGAACGGAGAGCUCAUGACAGAGGAUUCGUCCAAUUGAUAAGGUCACUUAGUGGCGGACGGGUGAGUAACGCGUGAGGAACCUGCCUUGGAGUGGGGAAUAACACAGUGAAAAUUGUGCUAAUACCGCAUAAUGCAGUUGGGCCGCAUGGCUCUGACUGCCAAAGAUUUAUCGCUCUGAGAUGGCCUCGCGUCUGAUUAGCUAGUUGGUGGGGUAACGGCCCACCAAGGCGACGAUCAGUAGCCGGACUGAGAGGGUUGGCCGGCCACAUUGGGACUGAGACACGGGCCCAGACUCCUACGGGAGCAGCAGU
This 347-nucleotide ribosomal RNA is filed under the name uncultured bacterium. RNAcentral describes it as "bacterial SSU rRNA". It matches the Rfam family "Bacterial small subunit ribosomal RNA", at positions 28 to 355 of the family's 1533-position model. The record is from RNAcentral.